AUUGAACGCUGGCGGCAUGCCUUACACAUGCAAGUCGAACGGCAGCACGGGAGCUUGCUCCUGGUGGCGAGUGGCGAACGGGUGAGUAAUGCAUCGGAACGUACCCGGAAGUGGGGGAUAACGUAGCGAAAGUUACGCUAAUACCGCAUAUUCUGUGAGCAGGAAAGAGGGGGAUCGCAAGACCUCUCGCUUUCGGAGCGGCCGAUGGCGGAUUAGCUAGUUGGUGGGUAAAGGCCUACCAAGGCGACGAUCCGUAGCGGGUCUGAGAGGAUGAUCCGCCACACUGGAACUGAGACACGGUCCAGACUCCUACGGGAGGCAGCAGUGGGGAAUUUUGGACAAUGGGCGAAAGCCUGAUCCAGCCAUGCCGCGUGAGUGAAGAAGGCCUUCGGGUUGUAAAGCUCUUUCGGCUGAAAAGAAAUCGCACAGGCUAAUACCUUGUGUGGAUGACGGUAUCAGCAUAAGAAGCACCGGCUAACUACGUGCCAGCCGCCGCCGUAA
Molecule: ribosomal RNA, 501 nt
Filed under: uncultured bacterium
Lineage: Bacteria
Description: partial 16S ribosomal RNA
Rfam family: Bacterial small subunit ribosomal RNA
Source: RNAcentral